RNAcentral lists this long non-coding RNA (1128 nucleotides) under Daphnia magna. Its description in RNAcentral is "uncharacterized LOC123477513, transcript variant X2". Lineage: Eukaryota; Metazoa; Arthropoda; Branchiopoda; Diplostraca; Daphniidae. The record is from RNAcentral.
CCCGUGAGGACAUUCAACUGGUAUUUCGGGGUCCAAUCUGCUCAUGAAGUGGUUUAGUUUAUUGUGCCCGCUGCGUAACCGAAGCAUUGCUGUUUGGAUAUUUCGUUUCUUGUUAAUGUGCCAAGGUCCUUUUUCGUUUUUUUCGGAUUUCGGUGGCCAGUUGGUCAGCAAUUUCGUUUCCUGGUAUCCCAGCAUGUGAAGGCAUGGAUCCAAGGACGAACGAGCCGUAGUCGUAUGCGCUCCGAAUCAUGGCUUUGAAGAUGCGGAUAAGGAGUGGCAGUUUCAAGGUCUUGGAGUGGACCCUCUGCCUCUUUCUUCGUUUUAGCGGUGUAGUAGAUCGCGACGUCAUCGGCGAAGAGGGAUGUUUCGCAUCCGUUGACCGGCAUUGGAAAGUCCGCGAGCAUGAUGUUGAAUAGUAGGGGGCUGAGGACACUUCCUUGAGGUACUCCUUUGCAUAUCUCUCUUUCAUCAGAGAGGUUGUCAUCUACCCGGGUUCUGAUGCUUCUGCCGGAGUCCAGUUAUCCAGACAUUGUCAUAAGCUUUGGAUAUGUCUAGGAAGAUUGCUGUGGUGGAGUGGCUGUUGUUGAAGCCUCUUUUGAUUGCUGACUCUAUCCGGAUCAGGUUGUCUGUGGUGGUGCAUCCUCUUCGGAAUCCAGUCUGGACCUUGGGGAGUAAUUUUAGAUGAUCUAGAUGCCACUUCAGUCUGUUGUUAAUCAUUUUCUCCAUAGCUUUACAGAGACAUGAAGUGAGGGAGAUUGGUCUGUAUGAGUCGGCGCUUCCUGCUGGUUUGUUUGGCUUUAGGGCGGGUGUCACAAUUGCGCAUUUCCACUCCUUCGGUGUUGGAUGGGUAUCCGUCUUCCCAUAGCUCGGAAUGAGCGUUUAGGUCGCCACCGGCGAUGACACUAUUUCCGGUGUUGUUUGAUGGUGACUCCAAUAGCUUCAAAAUUCUCGUUGGGUUCGACGCCGAGUGUGGUAGCUUGCAUAUUCUUCUUGGUCAGGAUCGCUACGCCUCCUCCUUGACCGACACGAUUGAGAACAAAAGAGUUGUAUGAUGAGAAUUUCACUUUGUAUUCGUUUUUCCAAUGGGUUUCACUUAUUAGAACAAUGUGAGGGUUGUGGAAUCGUAAA